Long non-coding RNA from Triticum aestivum (bread wheat), 715 nucleotides. RefSeq lists it as uncharacterized. The transcript has 3 exons. The record is from RefSeq and is a predicted model, not a curated record. NCBI's taxonomy places the organism in Eukaryota, Viridiplantae, Streptophyta, Magnoliopsida, Poales, Poaceae.
GUCUUAUCCCCCUUCCCCCUCGCUUCCUAUCAGUACUUGCGCCUCUGCUUCAGUCCAGUGUGUCUUCUCCUCUCCCUGCCGAUAGUUGGGGUUAAUGGAUGUUCUUGCUAGAUCUGCUCCCUCUGCUUAUUCUUAUCCCUGUGGUUGUUCUUAUGCUUUUUUAAGGUGCUUUUUUGUGCCUUUUUCUAUUCGCAGGAUUUGGGAAUCAGGGGAUUCUUGGCAGAGGGAUUAGUUCUGCUGCAUCUAUCCCCUUCUUCAGCCAAUGAAGUCCCUGAAGUUUUCGAUGCCGUCCUUGAUGAAUAUUGCUUUAGGAGGAUGAUCUGCUGCUGUUGGUUUGGUGGAUCGAAGGAGAAGGUAGUUGCCAGCAAGAAUCGUCUGGGCAAGUUGUUCAGAAACAUCAGAAGGCAAGGGGAGAUCUGAGCUUUCUUUCUUCUCCCAUGGUGGCGGCUGUGUGGGUGUCGAGCAAGAAAGAAGAGGAGGCAAGGGAGAAGACCUAGUGAGCUGUACAAUGACUGGAUCUUUAGCUUAGCGGGUUCAGGCCCGUUUUCUCUCUGGGCUAAAGAAAGAGCAUAAGAAAGAAACAUAAUGUUCUGAGGCUUUCUUUCUGUUGGGCUGACUGACUGACAAUAGUUUUGGGUCAGUCAGUUUUCUUUCUGGGUUGCAAUCUUUUCCCUUUGUUAACAUUCGACUGACCACUUUUUGAGUCAGUCGAUUG